This 312-nucleotide ribosomal RNA is filed under the name Triticum aestivum (bread wheat). Its description in RNAcentral is "partial small subunit ribosomal RNA". The record is from RNAcentral. Lineage: Eukaryota; Viridiplantae; Streptophyta; Magnoliopsida; Poales; Poaceae.
AUGGAAGAAGGAUGCCUACCAGAUUAUUGUCCUUGCGAGGCCACAGAUUGGAGAUCCCAAACUAUCUCCUUGACUGCUCUCAAAGAAGUGGGGAUCAAUGGCUUCGAAGGAGAGGAUCAUGACUUUGAUUUUUUUAAACUGAUAGUCAGAUGUGCGCCAAUGCUUAAUAGAAUGAUUGUGAAGUUGUCACAGGAGGCCUCCACAAAUAAUGAUGUGUGCGCAAAGAUAUACAACAUCUUUGGGGUGUAUUCUUCGGUGGAAUGUUGUGUUUAUCAUAGCUCUGGUGAGUAUAUGUUUGGCAUGUAUGAUUAG